GACGAACGCUGGCGGCGUGCUUAACACAUGCAAGUCGAACGGAAAGGCCCUGCUUUUGUGGGGUGCUCGAGUGGCGAACGGGUGGGUAACACGUGAGUAACCUGCCCUUGACUUUGGGAUAACUUCAGGAAACUGGGGCUAAUACCGGAUAGGAGCUCCUGCUGCAUGGUGGGGGUUGGAAAGUUUCGGCGGUUGGGGAUGGACUCGCAGCUUAUCAGCUUGUUGGUGGGGUAGUGGCUUACCAAGGCUUUGACGGGUAGCCGGCCUGAGAGGGUGACCGGCCACAUUGGGACUGAGAUACGGCCCAGACUCCUACGGGAGGCAGCAGUGGGGAAUAUUGCACAAUGGGCGGAAGCCUGAUGCAGCAACGCCGCGUGCGGGAUGACGGCCUUCGGGUUGUAAACCGCUUUCGCCUGUGACGAAGCGUGAGUGACGGUAAUGGGUAAAGAAGCACCGGCUAACUACGUG
RNAcentral lists this ribosomal RNA (468 nucleotides) under uncultured bacterium. Its description in RNAcentral is "partial 16S ribosomal RNA". It matches the Rfam family "Bacterial small subunit ribosomal RNA", at positions 28 to 507 of the family's 1533-position model. The record is from RNAcentral.